UAGGGAAUCUUCCGCAAUGGGCGAAAGCCUGACGGAGCAACGCCGCGUGAGUGAUGAAGGUCUUCGGAUCGUAAAACUCUGUUAUUAGGGAAGAACAAAUGUGUAAGUAACUAUGCACGUCUUGACGGUACCUAAUCAGAAAGCCACGGCUAACUACGUGCCAGCAGCCGCGGUAAUACGUAGGUGGCAAGCGUUAUCCGGAAUUAUUGGGCGUAAAGCGCGCGUAGGCGGUUUUUUAAGUCUGAUGUGAAAGCCCACGGCUCAACCGUGGAGGGUCAUUGGAAACUGGAAAGCUUGAGUGCAGAAGAGGAAAGUGGAAUUCCAUGUGUAGCGGUGAAAUGCGCAGGGAUAUGGAGGAACACCAGUGGCGAAGGCGACUUUCUGGUCUGUAACUGAAGCUGAUGUGCGAAAGCGUGGGGAUCAAACAGG
This 429-nucleotide ribosomal RNA is filed under the name Actinomycetes bacterium. Its description in RNAcentral is "Actinobacteria bacterium partial 16S ribosomal RNA". It matches the Rfam family "Bacterial small subunit ribosomal RNA", at positions 355 to 776 of the family's 1533-position model. Lineage: Bacteria; Bacillati; Actinomycetota; Actinomycetes. The record is from RNAcentral.